GGAAGAUUGCAGAGUGUUUUUUCAGACAGGACCUCUUCAGUCCCAGCACAGUGGACAUGUCAGCAUGUUGUGAGAAAAAAGAGAAGGCAGCACCGAGAGCCACACCCUUGGAGGAAAGCAUAUUCUAGCAAAAAAAGUAACUAGAGUUCCUGGACACUUAGAGAUCCUGUUGAGUUAGAUAUGGCAGUUUACCAGGAAGUUCUUACUAGCUUUCAGACCUUACAGGGGAAAGGGAAGUGAGUAUUUCACAAGCAGUGGUAACAUAAAGAAGAUGCAGGUAAGAGUAACCACUUUGCUUGGUUUACAGAUCGUGAAAGAAGCAUUACGACUACUCUUAAAGGCUGAAAAUCUAAUGACACGAUUACAUGGACAUUUCUGGAUGGCCGCAAAGCCUCCGAAAAGAUUGGUUUGAGAGAGGGCGGAGAAAGAAGGCUUGGCGUUCAAAGGUAAUGUAUGUGGGUGAAAGGGCCUGGAACUGCAAAUACUACAAUGUGCAGUGCUGUGCUUUUUUUCCAACGUGUUUGUUCACUGGACCUUUUUGAAGUCGUCAUGCAUGGUUCACAUGAAGUGUAGCUGAAUAAUGGAGGUAACUGUUAUAGACCUGAAUAAAUGCAGUUGGAACCAGAGCCGUACAAUGCAUUCAUAAAGUAUUCAGACCCCCCUAAUUUACACACAAUACCCCAUAAUGACAAAGCUAAAACAGGUUAAGACAUUUUUGCAAAUGUAUUUUUUUUUAAACGUAUCACAUUUACAUAAGUAUUCAGACCCUUUACUCUGUACUUUGUUGAAGCACCUUUGGCAACGAUUACACCCUCGAGUUUCUCCCAUUCUUUGCAGAUGCUUAAGCUCUGUCAGGUUGGAUGAGGAGUGACGCUGCACAGAUAUUUUCAGGUCUCUCCAGAGAUGUUCGAACAGGUUCAAAUCCGGGCUCUGGCUGGGCCACUCAAGGACAUUCAGAGACUUGCCAAAGCCACUCCUGUGUUGUCUUGACUGUGUUCUUAGGGUCUUUGUCACUUUGGACAUUCAGAGACUUGCCAAAGCCACUCCUGUGUUGUCUUGACUGUGUUCUUAGGGUCUUUGUCACUUUUAGACACUUUCUAUUGGAAGGUGAACCUCCGCCCUAGUCUGAGGUCCUGAGCACUCUGGAGCAGGUUUUCAACAAGUAUCUCUUUUUACUUUGCUCCGUUCAUCUUUCCCCCGAUCCGGACUAGUUUCCCAGUCCCUGCCUCUGAAAAACAUCCCCACAGCAUGAUGCUGCCUCAACCAUGCUUCACCGUAGGGAUGGUAUUGGCCAGGUGAUGAGCGGUGCCUGGUUUCCUCCAGAUGUAACGCUUGACAUUCAGGCCAUAAGUUCAAUCUUGGUUUCAUCAGACCAAAGAAUCUUGUUUCCAUCGUCUGAGAGCCUUUAGGCAAACUCCAAGCGGGCUCUCGUGCCUUUUUACUGAGGAGUGGCUUCUGUCUGGCCACUCUAUAAAGGCCUGACUGGUGGAGUGCUGCAGAGAUAGUUGUCCUUCUGGAAGGUUCUCCCAUUUCCACAGAGGAACUGUGGUGCUCUGACAGUGACAAUUGGAUUCUUGGUCACCUCCCUGAGCAAGGCCCUUCUCCCCCGAUUGCUCAGUUUGACUGGGCAUGCCAGCUCUAGGAAGAGUCUUGGUGGUUCCAAAAUUCUUCCAUUUAAGAAUGGAGGCCACUGUGUUCUUGGGGAUCUUCAACGUUGCAGAAACGUUUUGAUACCCUUCCCCAGAUCUGUGCCCGACAUUAUCCUGUCUUGGAGCUCUAAUUCCUUCGACCUCAUGGCUUGGUUUUUGCUCUGACGUGCACUGUCAACUGUGAGACCUUAUAUAGAUAGGUGUGUGUCUUUGCAAAUCAUGUCCAAUCAAUUAAAUUUACCACAGGUGGACUCCAAUCAAGUUGUAGAAACAGUUCAAGGAUGAUCAAUGGAAACAGGAUGCACCUGAGCUCAAUUUCGAGUCUCAUAGCAAAUGGUCUGAAUAUUUACGUAAAUCAGGUAUUUCUGUUUUUUAUACAUUUGCAAACAUUUCUAAAAACCUGUUUUCGUAUUGUCAUUGUGGGGUUUUGGGUGUAGAUUGAUGGGGGAGAUAGAAUAAGGCUGUAACGUAACAAUGUGGAAAAGGGGAAGGGGUCUGAAUACUUUCCGAAUGCACUGUAUAUUUAGUUAGGACUACUUGUAUAAUAUUAUUCAAAUUCUAGACAUUCAGUUACAUAGCAUUGUUUAAAUUCUCCCCAAUGUUAAUGGGGCGCUAGCAUGGCUGUAAUAGAAUGUUGAAGUGUCAUGUCUGGUUGGAACUAUGUUUUAUUUAAGUGUUUUAGCUUUCACAAAAUAUUUUUAUAGAUUUUAAAAGAUUCAGUUCAUAAUAUUCAAAACUAAGUUUAAUGUACAUCAUGGGCUUUCUGUUUUGUGGACAAUAAACAAGACGAUUGAAAAAAAA
Molecule: long non-coding RNA, 2450 nt
Organism: Oncorhynchus tshawytscha (Chinook salmon)
Lineage: Eukaryota; Metazoa; Chordata; Actinopteri; Salmoniformes; Salmonidae
Source: Ensembl